GUGUCCCAGCAUUUAAGCAGCUGGCACAGCCCAGGAUCUGGCCUGCAGGAGCUGAGCAGAGACACAGCCAGGACUUUGUCAGGGGCUGUCACCACUCCAUGCAAGGAGGGAGAGCAGCCCCGAAGUUUCUCAGCCUGGGGGUUUCAUACCCCUUGGGUGGACCCCUGCACUGCAAAGCAAGCAAGCUUGUUACGGAAGCCGGAGAUUUGCGGUUACCUACGUCCUCUUAGUCUCACUCUGUUGCCCAGGCUAGAGUGAGUGCCGUGGC
Molecule: non-coding RNA, 268 nt
Organism: Microcebus murinus (gray mouse lemur)
Lineage: Eukaryota; Metazoa; Chordata; Mammalia; Primates; Cheirogaleidae
Source: RefSeq, a predicted model, not a curated record